GCAUGGUUCAGGUUUGUAAAUUGAAAUAGCACAGCAACUGGCUGGAAAACAGCUUUGCAGAUAAGAGUCGAGUGUCCUGGUAGAUGAUGUUAACUGUAAACUGGCAAAGAUGGCCGGUGGCCUCCUGGACUGCAUUAGGAGGACUGCUGCCAGUGGGUCAAAACAGGUGACACUUCUCCUUGCUCAGAACUAGUGAGAGACUUCUGAAGUGCUGGGCUGCCCAGUACAAGGGAGACAUGGGCAUACUGGAACAAGCUCUAUUGAGAGUUGCGAAAGGCGAUUAAGGGACUAGAGUUAGAGCUCUUCAGUUGUAAUAAGAAGCUGAGACCUGGGACUGCUCAGUCUCAAGAAGGCUGCAGGGGAUCUUGCCAGUGCUUAAAAGUACCUUAUGAGAGGGAAGAGUACGGAGCCAGACUCUUCUCAGGACAAAAAGAAACAGGUACAAAUUGAAAUACAAGAAGCAUUUAAGCACAGGAAAAAUCUUUGUCACUGCAAGGUAGGUCAAACACUGGAACAGAUUGAUCAGGAAAGCUGUGGUGUCUAUUAUUGGAGAUAACUCAGAACUCAACUGCACAAGGUGCUGAGCAGUCUGCUGUGAGCAGGAGGGUUUAGAUGAUCUCUGAAGGUCCCCACCGACCUCCACCUCUAAGUGAUCCUACGACACUGCAACCUAGUGGCAAAGAGUCAUUUUGCUCUCCAUCUUGACUAAGGACGUGCUUCACAUUAUGCAAUGGUGGUUUGCAAAGGAAAAAGGUAGAAGGGCCCAAGAGAAAUGCCUGGUAAGUUAGGAAACUAGCUGGAAGGUGGUAAUGCAUCUCAGAGAGUAAAUUGGUCUAUGGGACCAAAGCUUUCUGAUUUCUUGAUGGCUAGGCAGGCAGUGACUGGGACUAUGAAAGCGCUGCAGUAGGAGUUCCAGGAAGGGUCCUGCAGGAACUGUUGAUCAUUCACCAAAGAAGCUUCCAGCAAAAACUCUUUCUAUCAUGUGGAGGAAAGAGAAUAGAGCUGUAGGGAGCCUGCUUUGCAGGGCGGUUGGACUUGAUGAUCUCUAAAGGUCCCUUCCAACCCCCACAUCUGUGAUUGUGUGACCUCCAUCAAAGGAAAAUAAAGACUCAAUGCAAAGUCUCAAGUUUAACUUCGGGUCAUUUUUAAGAGAAGACUUUUCCAGGAAACAAGAAUAACUCUGGUUGUGGGAGGGCUACCACUUAGUGAAGAUUAAUUUUAAACUCAGGGAUGCAAUUCAGUGAGCACCAAGCUGAAUUCAGGAGUAAUGGAAAUUUCCCAAAGAUUGGUCUUUAGGCCAAAUAAGAAAAUGAAUGUAUUGCAUUGUAGUGCUUUAGACAGAAAGUUGAAGAUUAGUCCUGUGACCUGCAUGAUUGUUCUUCAUCCAAUGACUUUACACACACACCCUCAUAGGGUAUAUUCCUGUGAUGUUUUCCAACAAAAUUAUAUUAACUCUGGAAGUACUAUUAUUAGCUGAUGUCCAGCAGUAAUACAAAUGGGUUUUAAUUCUUUACUUGACAGCUCCUUCAGGUUGUGCUGUGCUGCUCCCUGUUCUGGCUUCACAACAGAAGCAAAAGGUUUUAAUGUCAGACUUGUUUCAUGGCCCUUGAAGGCUAUCUUUUUCCUCUAUUCUGGUGCUUCUUGGGGAAUUCUUAAGAAUCAAGACUUUAAAAUAUCAUAAAAUAAGGACAAAUAUGUCAUGUUCUAGGAUUCUCCUAUUGGCACGUUUCCAUGUAAAACUUUAUUUUCGGAAUUACUUAAAUGUUGCUUUUGCAGUUUACAUGUUUAUUGGCAAAAUGUUGGCUCCAUCUGUGCAUAAAGUCUCUAUUUGGAAAUU
RNAcentral lists this long non-coding RNA (1837 nucleotides) under Gallus gallus (chicken). RNAcentral's name for it is "lncRNA (ENSGALG00010014434.1)". Lineage: Eukaryota; Metazoa; Chordata; Aves; Galliformes; Phasianidae. The record is from RNAcentral.